RNAcentral lists this ribosomal RNA (339 nucleotides) under Triticum aestivum (bread wheat). Its description in RNAcentral is "partial small subunit ribosomal RNA". The record is from RNAcentral. Lineage: Eukaryota; Viridiplantae; Streptophyta; Magnoliopsida; Poales; Poaceae.
CCGACUCUUGACAUAGCUAGGGGGCUAUGGAAAGCGUCUAUUCCUCUGAAGAUCAAAGUUUUUCUUUGGCAAUUAUUCUAUGACCGCCUUCCCUCUUCUAACAACAUUGCCAUUAGACACGGCCCUUCGGAUGGGUCUUGCAUGUUAUGUGGAGCGCAUGAAUAUGCUAACCACAUCUUUUUCAAAUGCCACCUAGCUCGUUUUGCUUGGAGUGCCGUCCGUGAGGCGUUUGCGCAGAACUGGAAUCCCCAUACAGCUUCGGACCUAUGUGGGAUCCUUCUCGCUCAUAGGGGUAGCUUCGGGCGCGUGCUGUGGCGUUACAUAGGGGCGCUGUGCUAG